CCUACGGGUGGCUGCAGUAGGGAAUAUUGGGCAAUGGCCGGAAGGCUGACCCAGCCAUGCCGCGUGGAGGAAGACGGCCCUCUGGGUUGUAAACUCCUUUUAUCGGGGAAGAACAGCACUCUUGCGAGGGUGUGUGACGGUACUCGAGGAAUAAGCACCGGCUAACUCCGUGCCAGCAGCCGCGGUAAUACGGAGGGUGCAAGCGUUGUCCGGAUUUAUUGGGUUUAAAGGGUGCGUAGGUGGUCUGAUAAGUCUGGUUUGAAAGUUGGUCGCUU
Molecule: ribosomal RNA, 275 nt
Filed under: uncultured Rudanella sp.
Lineage: Bacteria; Pseudomonadati; Bacteroidota; Cytophagia; Cytophagales; Cytophagaceae
Description: partial 16S ribosomal RNA
Rfam family: Bacterial small subunit ribosomal RNA
Source: RNAcentral